CCUACGGGUGGCAGCAGUGCGGAAUAUUGGUCAAUGGACGAGAGUCUGAACCAGCCAAGUAGCGUGAAGGAUGACUGCCCUAUGGGUUGUAAACUUCUUUUAUAUGGGAAUAAAAUGUUCCACGUGUGGGAUUUUGUAUGUACCAUAUGAAUAAGGAUCGGCUAACUCCGUGCCAGCAGCCGCGGUAAUACGGAGGAUCCGAGCGUUAUCCGGAUUUAUUGGGUUUAAAGGGAGCGUAGGUGGAUUGUUAAGUCAGUUGUGAAAGUUUGCGGCUCAACCGUAAAAUUGCAGUUGAAACUGGCAGUCUUGAGUACAGUAGAGGUGGGCGGAAUUCGUGGUGUAGCGGUGAAAUACUUAGAUAUCACGAAGAACUCCGAUUGCGAAGGCAGUUCACUGGACUGCAACUGACACUGAGGCUCGAAAGUGUGGGUAUCAAACAGGAUUAGAUACCCCAGUAGUC
This 460-nucleotide ribosomal RNA is filed under the name uncultured bacterium. RNAcentral's name for it is "partial 16S ribosomal RNA". It matches the Rfam family "Bacterial small subunit ribosomal RNA", at positions 338 to 795 of the family's 1533-position model. The record is from RNAcentral.